UACGAAGGGGGCAAGCGUUGUUCGGAAUUACUGGGCGUAAGGGGCGCGUAGGCGGCCACCGCAAGUCGGUUGUGAAAUCUCUGGGCUUAACCCAGAAAGGUCAACCGAUACUGCGGGGCUAGAGUGCAGAAGGGGCAACUGGAAUUCUCGGUGUAGCGGUGAAAUGCGUAGAUAUCGAGAGGAACACCUGCGGCGAAGGCGGGUUGCUGGGCUGACACUGACGCUGAUGCGCGAAAGCUAGGGGAGCGAACGGG
Molecule: ribosomal RNA, 254 nt
Filed under: uncultured bacterium
Lineage: Bacteria
Description: partial 16S ribosomal RNA
Rfam family: Bacterial small subunit ribosomal RNA
Source: RNAcentral